GAUGAACGCUGGCGGCGUGCCUAAUACAUGCAAGUCGAGCGAACAGACGAGGAGCUUGCUCCUCUGACGUUAGCGGCGGACGGGUGAGUAACACGUGGAUAACCUACCUAUAAGACUGGGAUAACUUCGGGAAACCGGAGCUAAUACCGGAUAAUAUAUUGAACCGCAUGGUUCAAUAGUGAAAGACGGUUUUGCUGUCACUUAUAGAUGGAUCCGCGCCGCAUUAGCUAGUUGGUAAGGUAACGGCUUACCAAGGCGACGAUGCGUAGCCGACCUCAGAGGGUGAUCGGCCACACUGGAACUGAGACACGGUCCAGACUCCUACGGGAGGCAGCAGUAGGGAAUCUUCCGCAAUGGGCGAAAGCCUGACGGAGCAACGCCGCGUGAGUGAUGAAGGUCUUCGGAUCGUAAAACUCUGUUAUUAGGGAAGAACAAAUGUGUAAGUAACUAUGCACGUCUUGACGGUACCUAAUCAGAAAGCCACGGCUAACUACGUG
This 497-nucleotide ribosomal RNA is filed under the name uncultured bacterium. RNAcentral describes it as "partial 16S ribosomal RNA". It matches the Rfam family "Bacterial small subunit ribosomal RNA", at positions 28 to 507 of the family's 1533-position model. The record is from RNAcentral.